GGCCUUGCGCUCUUUGAGCGGCCGAUGUCAGAUUAGCUAGUUGGUGAGGUAAAGGCUUACCAAGGCGACGAUCUGUAGCGGGUCUGAGAGGAUGAUCCGCCACACUGGAACUGAGACACGGUCCAGACUCCUACGGGAGGCAGCAGUGGGGAAUUUUGGACAAUGGGGGCAACCCUGAUCCAGCCAUGCCGCGUGAGUGAAGAAGGCCUUCGGGUUGUAAAGCUCUUUCGGCCGGGAAGAAAUCGCAUGGGCCAAUACCCUGUGUGGAUGACGGUACCGGAAUAAGAAGCACCGGCUAACUACGUGCCAGCAGCCGCGGUAAUACGUAGGGUGCGAGCGUUAAUCGGAAUUACUGGGCGUAAAGCGUGCGCAGGCGGUUUUGUAAGACAGGCGUGAAAUCCCCGGGCUUAACCUGGGAACUGCGUUUGUGACUGCAAGGCUAGAGUACGGCAGAGGGGGGUGGAAUUCCACGUGUAGCAAAAUGCGUAGAGAUGUGGAGGAACACCAAUGGCGAAGGCAGCCCCCUGGGUCGAUACUGACGCUCAUGCACGAAAGCGUGGGUAGCAAACAGGAUUAGAUACCCUGGUAGUCCACGCCCUAAACUAUGUCAACUAGGUGUUGGGUGGGUAAAACCAUUUAGUACCGUAGCUAACGCGUGAAGUUGACCGCCUGGGGAGUACGGCCGCAAGGUUAAAACUCAAAGGAAUUGACGGGGACCCGCACAAGCGGUGGAUGAUGUGGAUUAAUUCGAUGCAACGCGAAAAACCAUACCUACCCUUGACAUGCCAGGAACUUGCCAGAGAUGGCUUGGUGCCCGAAAGGGAGCCUGGACACAGGUGCUGCAUGGCUGUCGUCAGCUCGUGUCGUGAGAUGUUGGGUUAAGUCCCGCAACGAGCGCAACCCUUGUCGUUAAUUGCCAUCAUUUAGUUGGGCACUUUAACGAGACUGCCGGUGACAAACCGGAGGAAGGUGGGGAUGACGUCAAGUCCUCAUGGCCCUUAUGGGUAGGGCUUCACACGUCAUACAAUGGUCGGUACAAAGGGUUGCCAAGCCGCGAGGCGGAGCCAAUCCCAGAAAGCCGAUCGUAGUCCGGAUUGCGGGCUGCAACUCGCCUGCAUGAAGUCGGAAUCGCUAGUAAUCGUGGAUCAGCAUGUCACGGUGAAUACGUUCCCGGGUCUUGUACACACCGCCCGUCACACCAUGGGAGCGGGUUCCGCCAGAAGUAGGUAGCCUAACCGCAAGGGGGGCGCUUACCACGGCGGGGUUCGUGACUGGGGUGAAGCCGUAACAAGGUA
Molecule: ribosomal RNA, 1295 nt
Filed under: metagenome
Description: bacterial SSU rRNA
Rfam family: Bacterial small subunit ribosomal RNA
Source: RNAcentral